GGGGGGUUGGGGAGGCCCAAAUGUUCUGGAAUGCUAUACUGGCUUAAAGGUGGGGAAAAAAUAACCCCACCUUUAUGGCUCUGAGACUUGACAGAUCCUCUUCUGGAGUGGACACGAGUCUGCUCUCUACAGAAAUGCAGAUGUUGCAUGUCCAGCCAACCUUGUGCCCGCCCAAACUGUCGGGGAUCAUGCUUCCCUAGCCAAUUCAAGGCACCAGCCCGAGCUUGUCCACAGUGCUGGGGAACAGCACUCUGUCUCAUAAGGAAGGCUCCAGGGGGUCCUUCUCUUCUGUCCUUCUCACUUGUCCUGGAGAAUGGACUCCACCUUUCCCCUUCAGAGGUUUUGGUUUGGUUUCCCAUGUAGAGAGUGGGGAGAGCAGCUCAGCAUGGAGACGUUGUAUUAGGGUACGGCAGGCCAGGUCUUCAGAGUCGUCAUCCUGCAUCGGAAAAAGAAGGUGUUAAGUCAAGUAAAAAUGAUAUCUUCUUUCUCAGAGCCCUGGAAUGAGCAGUAAUCACAGGGUCAGGGUUCUAGUGUCCCUUCUACCCCUGCAUAGUGUGUGACCUUGGACAAUUCACUUAGCACCCUCAACUUCAAUGUACCCAUCUGUAAAAUGGAAAUGAUAACACUUGCCUUUUCUAUCCCACAGUGACACGGGGAGGGGCCCAAAGUACAAUGUUACAUAAACAGUCGACUGCA
RNAcentral lists this long non-coding RNA (696 nucleotides) under Rattus norvegicus (Norway rat). RNAcentral's name for it is "long non-coding RNA NONRATT025178". Lineage: Eukaryota; Metazoa; Chordata; Mammalia; Rodentia; Muridae. The record is from RNAcentral.